UGUUCAAGCUGCACGCCACACAGAGCGCCGGCUCCACCAGCGAGAAGGAUGAGGCGCUGGAGCGAGACGUGGACUUCUGGAUUUCUCUGUGCUGUCAGUUUGACGUCAGCGAUCAGCUGACCUCGCUCAUCAACAUCCUGAACUUCCUGCUGCAGCUGCCCGACGACAAAGAGGACGCUCCAGUGAAACGGCCCGCCGCCCGGCGAGGAGCGAAGAAGGAGGAGGAAAAGGUGGAGGAGCUGAUCUUCAGCGUGGACGCUCACGGCGGCAAAGAGCUGCGACACUUCAAGUUCCUCUCCGUGUCAUUCGCGGCUCAGCUGCUCGGCUCGGCGAGCUUCAUCGGGAAGGUG
Non-coding RNA from Neolamprologus brichardi, 350 nucleotides. The record is from RefSeq and is a predicted model, not a curated record. NCBI's taxonomy places the organism in Eukaryota, Metazoa, Chordata, Actinopteri, Cichliformes, Cichlidae.